GUGGAGUUAGAAUUACCUUGGGGUCCAAAUUGAGUAGAAUCCUUCUCACAGGGGGAUUCCUUUGAGGGAGAAUCAAUUGAAUUUGGUAUGCUGUCCAUCAAUGAGCCAUUCUGCAAAACUUCAUGAACUUCAAUGACACCAGAUUCAGAUUCUAGUGAGCUCUGAGGCACCAUCAAAGAAUUAUCUUCCUUUGCAUCAGUUAAGAGGCUCUCCUCUUUCCUCUCAACAUCAGUU
This 234-nucleotide unclassified non-coding RNA is filed under the name Hevea brasiliensis (rubber tree). Lineage: Eukaryota; Viridiplantae; Streptophyta; Magnoliopsida; Malpighiales; Euphorbiaceae. The record is from RNAcentral.